GGAGGAAAGCAGGGGAUCGAAAGACCUUGUGCUUUUAGAGCGGCCGAUGCCUGAUUAGCUAGUUGGUGAGGUAAAGGCUUACUAAGGCGACGAUCAGUAGCUGGUCUGAGAGGACGACCAGCCACACUGGGACUGAGACACGGCCCAGACUCCUACGGGAGGCAGCAGUGGGGAAUUUUGGACAAUGGGCGCAAGCCUGAUCCAGCCAUGCCGCGUGAGUGAAGAAGGCCUUCGGGUUGUAAAGCUCUUUCGGUCGGGAAGAAAUAGUUAUGGCUAAUAUCCAUAACGAAUGACGGUACCGACAUAAGAAGCACCGGCUAACUACGUGCCAGCAGCCGCGGUAAUACGUAGGGUGCAAGCGUUAAUCGGAAUUAUUGGGCGUAAAGGGUGCGCAGGCGGAUGUAUAAGUCAGAUGAGGGAUCCCCGGGCUUAACCUGGGAAUUGCGUUGAUAAUACGGGGCUAGAAGGGC
This 470-nucleotide ribosomal RNA is filed under the name uncultured beta proteobacterium. RNAcentral's name for it is "bacterial SSU rRNA". It matches the Rfam family "Bacterial small subunit ribosomal RNA", at positions 198 to 650 of the family's 1533-position model. The record is from RNAcentral. Lineage: Bacteria; Pseudomonadati; Pseudomonadota; Betaproteobacteria.